RNAcentral lists this ribosomal RNA (305 nucleotides) under uncultured bacterium. RNAcentral describes it as "bacterial SSU rRNA". It matches the Rfam family "Bacterial small subunit ribosomal RNA", at positions 334 to 655 of the family's 1533-position model. The record is from RNAcentral.
GUGCCCUACGGGGCGCAGCAGUGGGGGAUAUUGCACAAUGGGGGAAACCCUGAUGCAGCGACCCCGCGUGGGUGAAGAAGCGCCUCGGCGUGUAAAGCCCUAUCAGUGGGGAAGAAAAAGGACGGUACCCAAAGAAGAAGCACCGGCUAAAUACGUGCCAGCAGCCGCGGUAAUACGUAUGGUGCAAGCGUUAUCCGGAAUGACUGGGUGUAAAGGGAGCGUAGACGGUUGUACAAGUCUGAUGUGAAAGCCCACGGCUCAACUGGGGGAGUGCAUUGGAAACUGUAGAACUAGAGUAUCGGAGG